RNAcentral lists this transfer RNA (69 nucleotides) under Salminus brasiliensis (dorado). RNAcentral's name for it is "tRNA-Glu". It matches the Rfam family "tRNA". From Rfam's summary of the family: Transfer RNA (tRNA) molecules are approximately 80 nucleotides in length. Their secondary structure includes four short double-helical elements and three loops (D, anti-codon, and T loops). Further hydrogen bonds mediate the characteristic L-shaped molecular structure. tRNAs have two regions of fundamental functional importance: the anti-codon, which is responsible for specific mRNA codon recognition, and the 3' end, to which the tRNAs corresponding amino acid is attached (by aminoacyl-tRNA synthetases). tRNAs cope with the degeneracy of the genetic code in two manners: having more than one tRNA (with a specific anti-codon) for a particular amino acid; and 'wobble' base-pairing, i.e. permitting non-standard base-pairing at the 3rd anti-codon position. Lineage: Eukaryota; Metazoa; Chordata; Actinopteri; Characiformes; Bryconidae. The record is from RNAcentral.
GCUUUUAUAGUUGAAGGACAACGGCGGUGUUUCAAGCCGCGGGUCUUGGUUAAAGUCCAAGUAAAAGUA